RNAcentral lists this unclassified non-coding RNA (253 nucleotides) under uncultured Planctomycetales bacterium. RNAcentral describes it as "contains 16S-23S intergenic spacer region". It matches the Rfam family "Bacterial small subunit ribosomal RNA", at positions 524 to 776 of the family's 1533-position model. The record is from RNAcentral. Lineage: Bacteria; Pseudomonadati; Planctomycetota; Planctomycetia; Planctomycetales.
UACGAACUGUGCGAACGUUAUUCGGAAUCACUGGGCUUAAAGGGUGCGUAGGCGGCUCUGUAAGUCAGGUGUGAAAGUCCCCGGCUCAACCGGGGAAUGGCGCUUGAGACUGCAGGGCUUGAGUGAGGCAGGGGUGUGCGGAACUGCCGGUGGAGCGGUGAAAUGUGUUGAUAUCGGCAGGAACGCCGGUGGCGAAAGCGGCACACUGGGCCUUGUCUGACGCUGAGGCACGAAAGCCAGGGUAGCGAACGGG